CUCUCUCUCUCAAGAUACACAUUUAAAAAAACAAAAACAAAAGCAUCACUUCUGACUUCCUUCGUCGGUCAGUGCCGUGAUGCUGGCUGACCCUGGCUACAACCCUCCCAGGGCCUCAUAAAAUGUGCUUCCUGCAAACACCGCUGAGUCCUGAAUUAAGUGUGAACAGAAGACUCACUGAGCCCUGGAACCAGCUGCUGAAUGUCGCUGACCUUUGGGUUCUCAGCUACUCAGUGAGCUUGCUGAAGCAGACGUCUCUAAAAACUCGCCCGGCUCUGGAGUUCCAGGCUGCUAUUGUGGUCCAGUCUCCCCAGCUCCUCCUCCUUCCCCCAGGAUCCUCGCCUCCCAGUAUCUAUGCCCUGUGUGUGCUCUGCCUGCACUGGAUUUGGGCCUUCUGUGUGACCAACAGAGUAGGGGAGGGCCGUGUGUGACUUCGGAAGCUAAGUCAUAAAGGGCAUGGUGGCUUCUGUUGUGGUCUCUUGGCUUGCCCGCUCUGGAGGACACCAGCCACCAUGUUGUGAGGACACUCAAGCAGCCCCGGGAGAGGGCCUCAUGGGGAGUGACUGUGGCCUCCUGCCAGCAGCCGAGCGAGGGAGAUGAGUCAGAAUUGGAUCCUCCUGCUCCAGUCAGACCUUCGGUUGACCGCAGCCCCGGCCAACAUCGGGCCUCAACUUCACGAGAGACCCGAGCCAGCUCCACCCGGCCAAGCUGCUCCGAGUCCUGACCCACAGAAGCUCCAAGAGAUGAUCGCUGCUCACGGACGUUUGGGGCGCUUUGUUACGCAGCAUAGAUGACCAGUGGGCUGAUACUGAACCAGCUUCUAGCUUCUCUGGAAAAGCAGGAAGGAAUCAUAAUCCAGUGUUGUUCACGGGAGAAAGGAAAGUGGAGGAAUUUAUCUGCCUCGCUCCCACCUUCUAUCUCCUAGUAUUUGCCCCAUGGGGAGCUAGCUCCCUGAUUUAUCCAGGCCUUGGUAACCGUCCAGGAAGCCAGACCCCACACCCCGCAGUGAGGAAUUUCAUCCAAGUCCAAAAGUGGAAAGCAUCCAGGAACGAGUGGGGCACCAGCCAAGAAAGGAAACAAAGUCACUGAGCAACCUGAGAAGAUAUACAAGAUGCGUGUCCCAUAUCAUCACCUUCUUGGCCCCUUGUCUAAUUCCUCAGAUACUAACUCGCUAGCACAGCCCUAGGAAGGCCUGGAUUCUUCUUUUGACUGCAUCAGUUCCUCAAAUGUUUAAUGUAGGUGAAGAUGUGAUGAGACUGAAUAUUACUGUCAGCUGUCCCUCUUGGGCUUCAAGACAGAUGGACACACUCAAACCCUGGCCUGCAAAAUACAAAGCUUCCUCUUCAGCUUGCUGGAAGGACAUCUUAACUCUCGGUAAAGGGUCGCUAAAACAGCAACUAACGUUCACCCACCAGCUUAGAAAAGGAAAUGAGGUGUUCACUCCCAAGAGUUCACCAAGCUUCUUUUUAGUGGCAACCCUUGGAGAGUGGCUGCAAGCGGCAGACAGAGGCCCCGCGAGUCCCUCCGGAUCCCAGUGUGCUGAGAGGCCGAGGCCAGCUCCCAUUAGCAGAUGAGAAUGGGCGAUUGGUGGAUGGACAGACGGACGGGUGGAUAUGCAGACGGAUGGAGGGGGAAUGGGUGGGUAACUUAACGGACGAGACAACUGUUGGGUUUCAUGGAUGUCUAAGAAGCAUUGUCUACACACCCAACAGCCUUAAACGCCCCCUCUCCAGCAGGCACUCAAGGAAAUCAUUGCUCUGGGUUUCACUGUCUGGAAUCCGCCUCUCCAACAAGCAUUUUCCUUGUCCCCAUCGCAGCCACCGCCUCCAGUCCCCCACCCUUCUGGCUUGUUAUCAGCUCCGUGCCGUCUCUUUGCAUUAAAGUGACAAGCAGUCGCGCAAAGCUGACGACAGGAGGCUGGGGCUGUAAUUCGCACUGACAUUCACUGGUGCGAUCCACUUACUGCCUGGUAAGCCAAACAGGAGAUUUGUCUGAUUUUGAUCCCGGGAAGAGAAGUGACGGCGUCGCUCUCCUCCUGCCACUCAAAUCGAGGCACCAGGCUGGUCCUCGGGCCUGGGGCCGGGCUGACGACGCCCACCUGCACAACGUGGCUCUUCGGGAUCCCCUGCCCUUCCUGGGGCUGGAAUUCCCUUUCAGACCUGACAUGUGGUGAACACGGGAAGGGACGAGGGCCGUGGUUGGGGGCGGGUGGAUCCCGUGUAUUCUCUCAGAGGGGGGCAGUGCAGUUCACAGGCUGCCAGGGGCCUCCAAGGCCUCUCCGGGGGAAUUAAGGGCCGCUGGGAUGUCAGACCCCAGCUGACAGUACCUCAGCAGCCCUCUUUCUGCCUCCCCACCCCCUGUCUUUAACGUGUCCCCGCCGCGAGAGAAAUGCCACGGAAUGAGAGGCUCACAGGCAGCCACAGCAAGGAGUCAGCUUGUGGGCACUGCCUGCUACAUCAUCUACAAGGCCCCGUGUGACAUUUUUCAGACACAAAACUUGACGCCCUGGGAGGUUAAGUGACUUGCCCAUGAAAAUGUGGAACCCCCUGUUCAAAAAAAGCAGGAAAACUAUCAUUAAAGGGACUAAGAUAGAAGGCUUUUACCUUUCUUCUGUGGCCUCUGAGUUGUCGUGAUGUUUUUUAUUCGCCAUAUAAUGCUGUUCUAAGCAAAAAAACCCAAAACACAAAAAAACUAAGUAAGUGAAUAGAUGGGUGAAUGAAUAAAUAAAUGAAUAAAAUAUUGAUUAUUAGCAUGGAUUUAACCAUUCAUCUUUCUAAAAUUUUUUUUUCUUAAUGUUUUUAUUUAUUUUUGGGACAGAGAGAGACAGAGCAUGAACGCGGGAGGGGCAGAGAGAGAG
Long non-coding RNA from Felis catus (domestic cat), 2857 nucleotides. RefSeq lists it as uncharacterized. The record is from RefSeq and is a predicted model, not a curated record. The transcript is spliced from 3 exons. Lineage: Eukaryota; Metazoa; Chordata; Mammalia; Carnivora; Felidae.